GUGACUAUUCCUGGUAUUGAUUGUGGUUUUGUUGUAAAUGCAAACAUAGACAUCAAACAGAUGUUUCCUGUCAACAGGAUCUGUAUAGUUAAAAAGAUAUUCUGUGUAAUGUCUCCAUAUAUU
Molecule: non-coding RNA, 123 nt
Organism: Jaculus jaculus (lesser Egyptian jerboa)
Lineage: Eukaryota; Metazoa; Chordata; Mammalia; Rodentia; Dipodidae
Source: RefSeq, a predicted model, not a curated record